This 374-nucleotide ribosomal RNA is filed under the name uncultured organism. RNAcentral's name for it is "partial 16S ribosomal RNA". It matches the Rfam family "Bacterial small subunit ribosomal RNA", at positions 527 to 896 of the family's 1533-position model. The record is from RNAcentral.
GUAGGUGGCAAGCGUUGUCCGGGAAUUAUUGGGCGUAAAGCGCGCGCAGGCGGUUCUUUAAGUCUGAUGUGAAAGCCCACGGGCUCAACCGUGGAGGGUCAUUGGAAACUGGAGGACUUGAGUACAGAAGAGGAAAGCGGAAUUCCACGUGUAGCGGUGAAAUGCGUAGAGAUGUGGAGGAACACCAGUGGCGAAGGCGGCUUUCUGGUCUGUAACUGACGCUGAGGCGCGAAAGCGUGGGGAGCAAACAGGAUUAGAUACCCUGGUAGUCCACGCCGUAAACGAUGAGUGCUAAGUGUUAGGGGGUUUCCGCCCCUUAGUGCUGCAGCUAACGCAUUAAGCACUCCGCCUGGGGAGUACGGCCGCAAAGGCUG